UGACGAGUGGCGGACGGGUGAGUAAUGCUUGGGAACUUGCCUUUGCGAGGGGGAUAACAGUUGGAAACGACUGCUAAUACCGCAUAAUGUCUUCGGACCAAACGGGGCUUCGGCUCCGGCGCAAAGAGAGGCCCAAGUGAGAUUAGCUAGUUGGUAAGGUAACGGCUUACCAAGGCGACGAUCUCUAGCUGUUCUGAGAGGAAGAUCAGCCACACUGGGACUGAGACACGGCCCAGACUCCUACGGGAGGCAGCAGUGGGGAAUAUUGCACAAUGGGGGAAACCCUGAUGCAGCCAUGCCGCGUGUGUGAAGAAGGCCUUCGGGUUGUAAAGCACUUUCAGUUGUGAGGAAAAGUUAGUAGUUAAUACCUGCUAGCCGUGACGUUAACAACAGAAGAAGCACCGGCUAACUCCGUGCCAGCAGCCGCGGUAAUACGGAGGGUGCGAGCGUUAAUCGGAAUUACUGGGCGUAAAGCGCACGCAGGCGGUUUGUUAAGCUAGAUGUGAAAGCCCCGGGCUCAACCUGGGAUGGUCAUUUAGAACUGGCAGACUAGAGUCUUGGAGAGGGGAGUGGAAUUCCAGGUGUAGCGGUGAAAUGCGUAGAUAUCUGGAGGAACAUCAGUGGCGAAGGCGACUCCCUGGCCAAAGACUGACGCUCAUGUGCGAAAGUGUGGGUAGCGAACAGGAUUAGAUACCCUGGUAGUCCACACCGUAAACGCUGUCUACUAGCUGUGUGUGCCUU
RNAcentral lists this ribosomal RNA (741 nucleotides) under Alteromonadales bacterium HOT10B8. Its description in RNAcentral is "bacterial SSU rRNA". It matches the Rfam family "Bacterial small subunit ribosomal RNA", at positions 89 to 832 of the family's 1533-position model. The record is from RNAcentral. Lineage: Bacteria; Pseudomonadati; Pseudomonadota; Gammaproteobacteria; Alteromonadales.